This 90-nucleotide non-coding RNA is filed under the name fish gut metagenome. RNAcentral describes it as "TPP riboswitch (THI element)". It matches the Rfam family "TPP riboswitch aptamer (THI element)", at positions 9 to 100 of the family's 105-position model. From Rfam's summary of the family: Vitamin B(1) in its active form thiamin pyrophosphate (TPP) is an essential coenzyme that is synthesised by coupling of pyrimidine and thiazole moieties in bacteria. The previously detected thiamin-regulatory element, thi box was extended, resulting in a new, highly conserved RNA secondary structure, the THI element, which is widely distributed in eubacteria and also occurs in some archaea. The record is from RNAcentral.
ACUGGGGUGCUAUUAAGCUGAGAGAGGUUGUAAUACCUUAACCCAUAGUACUUGAUUCGGAUAAUGCCGACGAAAGGAGUAAGAAAUAUU